UUCUGUUCAGCAGCCCCAGGAUUACUGUUAGCUGGUGGACACUCAUUUGAUACAGAAAUUCGAAGGAAAAAUAAAAAAUUUGGGGUACAAGACCAUAAAGGUCCAUGGGGUAAAGAAAAGGUGUAAAGGCUGACGGCGGAAGCGACUCGUGGAUCUCAAGUGUCCAUGAGACUCCAUUCCCACAGGAACAGUUGACAUGGAUAACUCCUAUCAAGCAAGGAUGCUAUCCAUGACUCCUAGGUUCCGGGGUUGAUAUUAUCCUGUUCCUCUCCAAAUACGCAAUCUACCAAGACAAUAGCCAGGGCCAAGCCGGUGAGUACUCUGAAUGUACUCGCAAACAUCUUGAAAACAGAUAAGUUAAAGCAGGUGAGAUGCAUGCACUAAAAUCUUAAUAACUCUGGCAUGCCAUAAGAUUUAAAUUAUGGAUGCAAUUGUGUAGAUAAAUCAUUCAUACUGAUGAUGUAUAAACAAACAAGGUAAAGGGUAACAAUCAAUUUAAAUGUGUCGGUUGGCCGUCUAAGGCGACCCCUCGUAAGGACACUCAAUAUAAGCCACAGUCGCACGUCUGAGGGACGUCGCGUAGAGGGCUUAUAAUGAAAUAAUAACAGGUGUGCUCCAGCUGGGCGUCCGAAGCGACACCACAAAAAGGGGUUAUAUAAAAGUAAUAAGCGUUGCCACAGUCGGGCGUCUAAGCGACACCUUAUAAAUGGCUUAUAUGAAAUAAUAAAUGCAUGCCACAGUCGGGCAUCUCAACGACACGACAUACAAGGCUUAUAUGAAAUAAUAAUAGUUGCCACAAUCGGACGUCUGAGGGACUCUCAUAAAGUGAUUAUAUGAAAUAAUAAAUGUGUGCCACAGUCGGGCAUCUGAGCGACACUGCAUACACGGCUUAUAUGAAAUAACAAAAGUUACCACAGUCGGGCGUCUGAGCAACAACGCAUAAAGGGCUUAUAAUAUCAAUUACAAUGAUGAAUAUCCAGUACGUAGAACCAUCCCAGGGAUAUUCCUGAUCCACACACAAAAGGGGUUAAUCCACAACAAUAAAAUAUAGUCAUACACCUUGAGAUAUGGUUAUUCUCGUAGUUAAUCUAUUUCCUCGUAACACCCCCACUCAGACCAACACUUUACCUAUCUCAGAGUGUAGUCCUUAACCGCGGACACGACUAUCCGAAUAGGUAUAAAUCUCUGCAGAGGGUGUACUCUUUACCCACGAGUAACGAAUUUCUUUAGUCAAGCAGAAAUGUUAACUAAUUCCGAUUAUGGUCUUUGACUAGAAAACACACCUAACCUGCACAUGCGAGUUUAACUUCCCGAUGCCUCGGAUCGCCCACGUCACUCGUUAGGUUAGACUAUGAGUGGGAAUAUUACGAUCUCCACCUAGCAUGGGACCAAAUAUAUACCGCGUGCUACUAAGGGGUGCUCCCCUCUCAGCCCCAGGCCGAAAACCCACAUGCCCCCGGACCAUGUGGCAUGCAUACAAGUUGCAACUGGUAUCUUCCACAGUGGCCUCUCUAUACGGUGUGUGCAAGGAAAGGGGUCGACGAUUUACUCAAUGGCACCCUACCUGGUGCACUGACAAGUGGUAGCACAAAUCAAGUAUGGGGGUUACUGGCACAAGACUCGAUCUACGGUCGACUCUGUAGGUUUAAGUUUUUCUGCAAGGGUUAGCACCUCAAAACUCCUAAAUGUUGUUCAAUAGGGUUACCACCAUCACACCUCGAUAUGCCCUAACUGAUUAUUCUUGUCGCCACAAGAUAUCAGUUUCACGGUCACAUGUUUAUCAUGAAAAACCUUCCUCCAAGGUUAUCCAUACCCACAUGGCAUACGUGGCACGAGGCACUACCCACUCAUCACUAGCAUUAUAUUCUCAAUAUCAAGUAGUACCCAUCACAUGCUUUCAUGCAAAAUAUGUUGCUAUGAAGAGUUUUUAUCUAAGUAGCAUAACCAUGCAUCCAUUCAUUGCAGCAAGCCAUCACACACUUAAGACAAAUUGGGGUUCAAUAUGCUUGACUUUGGUAUCAAGAAGGGUGGUGUGCACCCCAAAAAUCUUGACAGAAUUAUUCCCUCCAUGUUUUCCUAUUUUUAAAAUACUGAAUCAACACACAUUGCCAAAACAGUGUAUAAAAGUUGUUUGAAUUUUAUUUAAAUAAAUCUGACAAUAAACUAGGCGAAAUUUGAGAACCGACGAAAAAAAGAAUCGAUUCAUUUCGAUUUCUAGUUUAAAAGUUAUAAGCAGUCAAAGUUUGGUCAAAAAUUUGUUUUUAAAUAAAAUAGAGAAGAAACAUUUUUCAAAACAAAUAUGUUAGCCUGCAACGAAACAUACUCACGAAGAAAGAGUAAUGCGAGGCAUGUGCCAUCAAGGCUAGGGCUGGCUCACCGACAAGUUGAACCCACCGGUCAAGUUCGUCUUCUUCCCCCUUGCGGGCACGGGCAGAGGGGAGGGACAACGCUGAUGGCAAUUUCUGGCGCUAGGAAGCACCAUUCCCGGAGCUGGGCACACCGGCGUCCUUGGGGGUAAGGGCCUCAUCCUCUGGAGGGCAUGUGAAUCGCCGUAGAGCUCGGGAGUGAGCACACGUCCGACCAAGGCAGAAGGGAGGCUCUGGCGCACUGGCUUCUGCCUACGGCUCGCUACCGAUGCGAUUUUGCAUUGGGGAUGGAUCCUAGGGGACGUGGUUGAGCUACUGGUGGCUAAGAUGGAGCGGCAGGGGCUCGGGAUUGCCGNNNN
This 2725-nucleotide long non-coding RNA is filed under the name Hordeum vulgare. Its description in RNAcentral is "long non-coding RNA (HVUL_LNC010012)". Lineage: Eukaryota; Viridiplantae; Streptophyta; Magnoliopsida; Poales; Poaceae. The record is from RNAcentral.